RNAcentral lists this ribosomal RNA (392 nucleotides) under uncultured bacterium. Its description in RNAcentral is "partial 16S ribosomal RNA". It matches the Rfam family "Bacterial small subunit ribosomal RNA", at positions 523 to 918 of the family's 1533-position model. The record is from RNAcentral.
AUACGGAGGAUCCGAGCGUUAUCCGGAUUUAUUGGGUUUAAAGGGUGCGCAGGCGGCCACUUAAGUCAGCGGUUAAAUCGUGGGGCUCAACCCCAUUCUGCCGUUGAUACUGGGUGGCUUGAUUGCGGUCGAGGUUGGCGGAAUUCGUUGUGUAGCGGUGGAAUGCAUAGAUAUGACGAAGAACACCGAUUGCGUAGGCAGCUGACCAGACCGCAAAUGACGCUCAUGCACGAAAGUGCGGGGAUCGAACAGGAUUAGAUACCCUGGUAGUCCGCACAGUAAACGAUGAAUACUUGUUUUCGGCGAUAUAAUGUCGGAGGCAAAGCGAAAGCGAUAAGUAUUCCACCUGGGGAGUACGCCGGCAACGGUGAAACUCAAAGGAAUUGACGGGG